Molecule: ribosomal RNA, 253 nt
Filed under: uncultured bacterium
Lineage: Bacteria
Description: partial 16S ribosomal RNA
Rfam family: Bacterial small subunit ribosomal RNA
Source: RNAcentral
UACAGAGGGUGCGAGCGUUAAUCGGAAUUACUGGGCGUAAAGGGCGCGUAGGCGGCCUGAUAAGUCAUUAGUGAAAUGCCUGGGCUUAACCUAGGAACUGCUAAUGAUACUGUCAGACUAGAGUAUGGUAGAGGGAAGUGGAAUUUCCGGUGUAGCGGUGAAAUGCGUAGAUAUCGGAAGGAACACCAGUGGCGAAGGCGACUUCCUGGACCAAUACUGACGCUGAAGCGCGAAAGCGUGGGGAGCGAACAGG